Molecule: long non-coding RNA, 419 nt
Filed under: Capsicum annuum
Lineage: Eukaryota; Viridiplantae; Streptophyta; Magnoliopsida; Solanales; Solanaceae
Description: long non-coding RNA (CANN_LNC004527)
Source: RNAcentral
UGUACAUAUCUUCAUUGUUAGAGAAUUGUACAAGUUCAAUGCUGGAGGAGACAUCGUCAGAUACUUCGGGAGUACUUGAGUUAGAAUCAGAUACUGCAGCUGAAAGGAUGGACGAUUCGGCCAUUGGAACAUCAAAAGAAUCAACAGGUACCUCCAAAUCUCCCCUUACCCAAUUUGAUUGCUCCCUUGCUCUCUGCUCCUUCUGCCUAAGCUUUUUCAGUUUUUUCCUUUCCAACAACUCAGCUUGCCUACCAAUAAAGAAGAAGAAUGACGGUGAAAACAAGUUUCUGUAACUGCACAAGUGGAUAUAUAAUCAUGUAUCUUUUUCUUUUUGAUAACCCAAAAAUCAUUUGAAUGACGAACAGUUAGGAACUUGGUGAAUAAUGGGGAACCAACAAUCUCUAGACCAAAGCCCUGGG